CCAAAUCAAUGCCCGCUUCAUCGGCCUCCGCCCCGCCGGCCGCCGACACGACUACACGUGGAUCCAGUCCCUCGGCAUCCUCUUCGGCAAGCACACCGUCACCGUCUCCGCCACCCCCGCUGCCGCCUGGGACCGCAGCGCCGACCACCUCUCCUUCACCUUCGACGGCGAGCCCUUCGACCUCGGCAUCGGCCACCUCUCCUCCUGGUCCUCGCCUGCCGCGGGCGACCUCCUCGUGGAGCGCACCGCCUCCGUCAACAGCGUGAUCGUGGUCCUCCCCGGGUCGUUCGAGAUCAGGGCGACGGUCGUCCCCGUGACAAAAGAGGACGACAGGAUCCACAAGUACAACGUUCCCGCCGACGACUGCUUCGCCCACUUGG
This 380-nucleotide long non-coding RNA is filed under the name Musa acuminata (dwarf banana). RNAcentral describes it as "long non-coding RNA (MACU_LNC000298)". Lineage: Eukaryota; Viridiplantae; Streptophyta; Magnoliopsida; Zingiberales; Musaceae. The record is from RNAcentral.